Molecule: small RNA, 564 nt
Filed under: Tuber tomentosum
Lineage: Eukaryota; Fungi; Ascomycota; Pezizomycetes; Pezizales; Tuberaceae
Description: eukaryotic LSU rRNA
Rfam family: 5.8S ribosomal RNA (bases 203-355)
Source: RNAcentral
CCCUCCCGGCACCCCGAGCCAGCAAACCCCCUGUGUACACUUUCCAUGUUGCUUCCCCAGGCCAGCGGCCACCUGCCGCCAGCCCGACCCCUCCCGCGGUCAACCACGGGCUGAGGCGCCUGGGGGAGGUCCCUGCCCCAACAAAGUGGUUCAAUCAAUGCAGUCUGAGCAGGCCACCUGCCUGAACCAGGUAACAUGUUAAAACUUUCAACAACGGAUCUCUUGGCUCUCGCAUCGAUGAAGAACGCAGCGAAAUGCGAUAAGUAAUGUGAAUGCAGAAUUCAGUGAAUCAUCGAAUCUUUGAACGCACAUUGCGCCCUCUGGCAUUCCUCAGGGCAUGCCUGUUCGAGCGUCAAUAGAAACCCCACUCACCCUCCCGGUGGUACUGGGGGAGGUGGGUCGCCCUCCAGGCGCGAGAUCCACCCCCCUGAAAAGCAUGGGCCCGAGAGACGACGGCUGCGACUGACACUCUAAGCGCUUUCUGAAGCCAGAACCAGUCCACCGCCAUGUCGAGCGGCGCACCACUGGAGCCCCCAUCCAGCACAAACACUCUGGGUUGACCUC